ACCGAUAGGCGUUGAAAAGUCUCCGGAUGACUUGUGGAUAGGGGUGAAAGGCCAAUCAAACUUCGUGAUAGCUGGUUCUCUCCGAAAUAUAUUUAGGUAUAGCCUUGUGUUGUAGCAUAUAGGGGUAGAGCACUGAAUGGGCUAGGGCUGCUUACCGCGGUACCAAACCCUAUCAAACUAUGAAUACUAUAUGUGGAAUCACAGGAGUCAGGCGAUGGGUGAUAAAAUCCACCGUCGAGAGGGGAACAACCCAGACUAACAGCUAAGGUCCCUAAGUCACAUCUAAGUGGAAAACGAUGUGGAGUUACUGUGACAACCAGGAGGUUGGCUUAGAAGCAGCCAUCCUUUAAAGAAAGCGUAACAGCUCACUGGUCUAGUGAUUCUGCGCGGAAAAUAUAACGGGGCUAAGAUGUGCACCGAAGCUUUAGAUUCGAAUUUAUUCGAGUGGUAGGAGAGCGUUCUAUUCAGCGUUGAAGAUGUACCGGCAAGGAGCGUUGGAGCGGAUAGAAGUGAGCAUGCAGGCAUGAGUAGCGAUAAUUGAGGUGAGAAUCCUCAACGCCGAAAACCCAAGGUUUCCUACGCGAUGCUCGUCAUCGUAGGGUUAGUCGGGU
Molecule: ribosomal RNA, 611 nt
Filed under: Profundirhabdus halotolerans
Lineage: Bacteria; Bacillati; Actinomycetota; Nitriliruptoria; Nitriliruptorales; Nitriliruptoraceae
Description: partial 23S ribosomal RNA
Rfam family: Bacterial large subunit ribosomal RNA
Source: RNAcentral